AAAUUUAGCCAGGCGUGGUGGUGGGUGCCUAUAGUCCCAGCUAUUUGGGAGACUGAGGCAGGAGGAUUACUUGAACCCACGGUUUCGAGGCCAGCCUAGGCAACAUAAUGAGACCCCAUCUUUUAAAGUACUAGGUUCAACACCAAUUUUGGUGAAUUUAAUCAUCAUACUUGGCUAUAGCAGAAACCUAUAUUGCCAUUUGAAUAUAGUAAAAACAGAAUUAAAAGGCAAAACCAUUUUAAUAGUAUUAAAUGAAAGGGCUGAGUUCAAAGUGUUCUCCCUCACUGACAACAAAGUCUCUAUUCUCAGCGUGCUGAAGGGAAACAGAUGUGGAGGUGCUUAGCAGGGUGGCACUCACAGGGUGGUGCUGGGAAGGCAGGUCGGCCUUGACUGUCCAAGCAGUCAACAUGCAGAGCCAUCCUAGUCUCCUCCCUGGGCCCUGCACUGGGAGGCCUGGUCAGAUCUUUAUCUGUCACUACAUCUGGUGCUUUUAACUUGAACCAGCUCUAUAGAUGUUAGUGCAGGUCCAAAAGAGACUUAGCUGAAAUGAGUUUUAAAAGGAUUAUGAAAUAGUGCUUAGAAGAACAUGUGAAGAAGUUGAGCCUAUUUAGAUUGAAAAGAAGGCUGAAGAAGGACUUGUUAACUGAAAUAUAUAGGUAGGGAAAUCAUGCAGAUAUGAUAGUGCAGGCCAAGGGAGAACUUCCCUUUCAUCCUCUGAAGGGUCACUGGAAAGUCAGCUGACAAAAGGCAGAUUAAUAGGAGAAAUGGCAUGCAAAUUUGUUAAUGUGCAUGAGGGAGAGCUACAGGGUGAUUGGACUGUGUACCCAAGCUCGUGUACCCAACCCGCCAACAGGGUACACAAGUUUAUAUACAUACCAUCUUCAGGUUACAGAAAGAAUUGGGGGCUUGGAGCAUGGCCAAAAACAGGUUAUGGUGGUAAGUCAGGUUAUAGUGGCAAGACAGGUUGUGGGAGGGAGAAGAAAGGAGGCCUGGCUAGCAGAGUUGGUCUUGUUAUAGAGAUAAAACUUCACAGGUAGCAGCCCUCAGAGAGAAUUGAUGGUAAAUGUUUCUUUCAGACCUUUAAAGGUGUCAGACACUCGGUUCAUCUUUCCUAUAUCUUGAUAUUGGAGGGCCUCAGAGCAAACCAGGCUGCAUUAAUGCAGAUUUUCUCUACAGAUGCAAAUCUACCCCCAAAAAGACAGCUUUUCAGUAAUUCUUGCAUUUCCAGCCUUUCUGAAUAGCCAUCUUGAAAUACAUCAAAGAAGUAUAUUUUGGGGUGAAAUAGUUUAGUUUUCUUCAAUAGCAAAUUUUCAACAUUUUUACCAAAUUAAAAAUAACAAAUGUGGCCAGGCCUGGUGGCUCACGCCUGUAAUUCUAGCACUUUGGGAGGCUGAGGUGGGCGGAUCACGUGAGCUCAGGAGUUCAAGACCAGCCUGGGCAACAUGGUGAAACCCUGUCUCUACUAAAAAUACAAAAAAGUAGCCGGGUGUGGUGGUACAUGCCUGUACUCCCAGCUACUCAGGAGGCUGAGGCAGGAGAAUCGCUUGAACCUGGGAGGCAGGUUGCAGUGAGCUGAGAUUGCGCCACUGCACUCCAGCCUGGGUAACAGUGAGACUCUGUCUCAAAAAAAUAAAAUGAAUGCUAGACGUCUGUUGUUAUCAGAGGGUGUCAUUUAGAAAUAUUUCAAACUAAUUAUAACUUUUGAGAAGUAUGAAACCCUUUAACUCCUAAAGAUUAGGGAAGGCAGCAUUCUAACUUAACAAGCAGCAGGUGUAUUUCAUCCCUUAAAUACAGCCAUGCCAGGAACACAGAGAAUGAUCAAGUGAUGUGUCCGUAUUUCAAUCCUGUGAUUCAGGAAUCCAAGAAGAAGAAGUGUCACAUAUACUUACUUUGGGCCAUGAAGAGUAGUUUGUUAUCAUUUGAAGAACCAUUAAUUUUAUAAGCAGCUAUGGAUUUUACUAGGGUCACUUUCUUUGUUAGACCUUGACAGAGGGACCCCUGAGAUAAGAAUUGGAUAUUUAUUGACCCCUCCAUUUUAUGUGGUUAAGUUGCUUGAUUUUUUUCCUACUGCCUGUAUAAUUGCAGAAUGCCU
This 2092-nucleotide long non-coding RNA is filed under the name Homo sapiens (human). RNAcentral's name for it is "HSALNT0120874". Lineage: Eukaryota; Metazoa; Chordata; Mammalia; Primates; Hominidae. The record is from RNAcentral.